RNAcentral lists this ribosomal RNA (459 nucleotides) under uncultured bacterium. RNAcentral describes it as "partial 16S ribosomal RNA". It matches the Rfam family "Bacterial small subunit ribosomal RNA", at positions 338 to 795 of the family's 1533-position model. The record is from RNAcentral.
CCUACGGGUGGCAGCAGUGAGGCAUAUUGGUCAAUGGGCGCGAGCCUGAACCAGCCACGUAGCGUGAAGGAUGACUGCCCUACGGGUUGUAAACUUCUUUUAUAAAGGAAUAAAGUGAGGCCCGUGUGCCUUUUUGUAUGUACUUUAUGACUAAGGAUCGGCUACCUCCGUUCCAGCAGCCGCGGUAAUACGGAGGAUACGAGCGUUAUCCGGAUUUAUUGGGUUUAACGGGAGCGUAGAUGGGUUGUUAAGUCAGUUGUGAAAGUUUGGGGCUCAACCGUAAAAGUGCAAUGGAUACUGGCAGUCUUGAGUACAGUUGAGGUAGGCGGAAUUCGUGGUGUAGCGGUGAAUGAUUAGAUAUCACGAAGAACUCCGAUGGCGAAGGCAGCUUACUAAACUGCCACUGACAUUGAUGCUCGAAAGUGUGGGUAUCAAACAGGAUGAGAUACCCUAGUAGUC